UUACAAUGGAGAGUUUGAUCCUGGCUCAGGAUGAACGCUGGCUACAGGCUUAACACAUGCAAGUCGAGGGGAAACGACGGGGAAGCUUGCUUCCCCGGGCGUCGACCGGCGCACGGGUGAGUAACGCGUAUCCAACCUGCCUCUGACUGAGGGAUAACCCGUCGAAAGUCGGCCUAAUACCUCAUGGCAUCGUCUGCGGGCAUCCAACGACGAUUAAAGAUUUCAUCGGUCAGGGAUGGGGAUGCGUCUGAUUAGCUUGUUGGCGGGGUAACGGCCCACCAAGGCGACGAUCAGUAGGGGUUCUGAGAGGAAGGUCCCCCACAUUGGAACUGAGACACGGUCCAAACUCCUACGGGAGGCAGCAGUGAGGAAUAUUGGUCAAUGGGCGAGAGCCUGAACCAGCCAAGUAGCGUGCAGGAUGACGGCCCUAUGGGUUGUAAACUGCUUUUAUGCGGGGAUAAAGUGAGGGACGUGUCCUUCAUUGCAGGUACCGCAUGAAUAAGGACCGGCUAAUUCCGUGCCAGCAGCCGCGGUAAUACGGAAGGUCCGGGCGUUAUCCGGAUUUAUUGGGUUUAAAGGGAGCGUAGGCCGUGGAUUAAGCGUGUUGUGAAAUGCAGGUGCUCAACGUCUGCACUGCAGCGCGAACUGGUCCACUUGAGUGUGCACAACGCAGGCGGAAUUCGUCGUGUAGCGGUGAAAUGCUUAGAUAUGACGAAGAACUCCGAUUGCGAAGGCAGCUUGCGGGAGCACAACUGACGCUGAAGCUCGAAAGUGCGGGUAUCGAACAGGAUUAGAUACCCUGGUAGUCCGCACGGUAAACGAUGGAUGCCCGUUGUCAGGCUGUUUCAGCCUGGUGACCAAGCGAAAGCAUUAAGCAUCCCACCUGGGGAGUACGCCGGCAACGGUGAAACUCAAAGGAAUUGACGGGGGCCCGCACAAGCGGAGGAACAUGUGGUUUAAUUCGAUGAUACGCGAGGAACCUUACCCGGGCUUGAAUUGCAGACGAA
Molecule: ribosomal RNA, 1007 nt
Filed under: Prevotella sp. HMSC077E09
Lineage: Bacteria; Pseudomonadati; Bacteroidota; Bacteroidia; Bacteroidales; Prevotellaceae
Also listed under: 1 other name
Description: bacterial SSU rRNA
Rfam family: Bacterial small subunit ribosomal RNA
Source: RNAcentral